AGGAAGUUGGGUGAGACCAGGCUGGUCUGAUCCUCCCUGGCCCACUCACCAGGGUCCCCUGCUCAGCAGAGCCUCAGUGACUGGCCUAAAGAGGCUAUGGGUGAAGGAUUGUAGGGAGUCAGAAAGACAAGGGGAGCAUUGGACAACACAGGAAGUCCCUCUGGCCACCUUCUGAAGGUGGGGACCAUUCAUGAGAAAUCCGGAGGACGCCCUCAGUCCUUGUGCAGCACCAGGAAGAAACCGACUGGCCCAGGGCCACCCCUGAGUCCGCAUCAUCACGCAGGGUCCUUCAGCUGAGCCCCUGUUGUAUCCGCAGAUGAACAUCCGCAGAUCCCUGUCCCCUGGUAACUGACGGACAGCACAGGGUCCUGGUGGCCCAUGGACGCCACCUCAUGCCUCCUUUCCGAGGCCACCUAGCCGGCGAGGCCCGCCACGGACACACCGUGAGCACGCGCAACGAGCAGGGGUCGGUGAUCGCCAUCCCCCGUGUCCGCCUCCCGCGUUCCCGUUCCCGCGGCCGCCCCGCGCUCCUCCGGGCUCCGCCCCCGCCCGGCCGGCGCCCAGUCUCCCGGCAGCGCGUAGCGCUGCAGCCUCUUCAGGGCUGGGCAGAAACAGAAACCGAAAAUCCUCCUCUUAUCGGGAUUCUAGCUCACCAAACACUUCGAAUUGUGUGGUAGAAGAGCCGUAGUUCCUUCUAAAUAAAGUCGAACCCAUGUAAGGUCUGGGUUCUGAGAUCAUUUUGCCCUCUGGCAGCUCACGAGCACCACCGGGUCGCCGCCUGCCCUCUGUUCAGCCCGUGAGGGGCGGGGGACUCUGCCCUUCGCUCCUCCUGGUCUCUGUCCUCUUCCCUAAGAGUUUCAUUCCGUCCGGAGCCACAAGCCGCCCUGCCUUCUGCACCUCCCCGGAGGCUGAAGCCCUUAAGCCUGCCCCGCACCCUAAGGCCCUGCAGGACACUCCUGCUGUCCUUGCGGGGCACACUGAUAUGACUCGAUGCUGAGCAGUUGAAAGGAUUAAAAAAUAGUGGGCAAACGGCAAAAACGGGUGGCAUGGAGUGAAUUAGAAGACACGAGACUUCAGAGAAGUGCGUUUCAUGCACAGAAGUUUGUCAAUGCCCCCCACCCCGAAACCCAGUCUCCCUGAGUGAGGGAGAGGGGGCUUCACCUUCCCUUUCGUUUCACUUUGAGCCCCAACUGCUGGACUGCAACAGAACGACCCUACAGGCUCACUAUGUUUCACAUUCUGGGGAUUCCUGGUGGCACCUUCCUGUGUUCACCAGUGGGUCCCCGUUAGACUUGGGGCUGUCACCUGACAUAUGGAACCAGGCAGCUCCAUGUUGGAUGCCUCCACAAGCAUGGAACUAAGGCUGCGGGGUCAGACCUACCCUCAGAAAGGAGGAGGAAUGUCUUUCGAGCUGUGGUCGGCCUGGGGUCUCCUUGUGAGCCUCAGGGUGCCAAGGAGGCAGGGCUGAACACCACCAGGAGCGGAGGGAGCCUGGUGGCUGGGGCUGGAGCCAGGAAAGGCUUGAAUGAACAAUGCAGCCUUUUACCAAGUCUGCACUCCUAAUGUUUCUGCAAACCUCCAUAUGUCUAUUACUUUUACCAUGGUGAGCUGGAAUGGCCCGCAGACUGUCCUAGAUCUUAGGACUGCCAGGUGAUGCAUGUGUGGCGAGGGAAGGAGAUACCUGGUGGCCCCUCCAGAUGGUCUCCACCAGCACCUGCUGGGCAGCAGCUUCUGCUUCUUUGGGCUUGCAAGUGGGUGCUUCUAUGAAGAGGAGGGUCCCUGGCAGGUUCCUCAGUAUUGCUGAACAGAAUAAAGGAAGCGCAGGGUUGG
This 1830-nucleotide long non-coding RNA is filed under the name Homo sapiens (human). RNAcentral's name for it is "non-protein coding lnc-SP110-6:1". Lineage: Eukaryota; Metazoa; Chordata; Mammalia; Primates; Hominidae. The record is from RNAcentral.